UCUGUUUGGUCUUUUUCCUUUUUCCUGGUUUGUUGUUGUUUUGGAGUUGUUGGGCUGUUCUCAUUUUGGUUCCUCAUCAGUAAUCUAAAUUCAAGAUCAAGCCUUUUGAAAACUGGGUAUCAUUUUUUUUCUUUCAACUUUUCUUUUUCUUUUUUCUUUUCUUGGUAGUUGUGUAAUGUCUUCUUCUCUUUUCCUUAUUUUUUGCAGCGAGGUAAAGUUCAUCUUUUUGGGAGUCUUGAGUUAAGAGCAAGAGAAAAUGGGGGAUAAAAAUGAAGUCUUGGAGGCUGUAUUGAAGGAAACUGUGGAUUUG
This 310-nucleotide long non-coding RNA is filed under the name Gossypium barbadense (sea-island cotton). RNAcentral describes it as "long non-coding RNA (GBAR_LNC018613)". Lineage: Eukaryota; Viridiplantae; Streptophyta; Magnoliopsida; Malvales; Malvaceae. The record is from RNAcentral.